CCUACGGGAGGCAGCAGUGGGGAAUAUUGGGCAAUGGGCGCAAGCCUGACCCAGCAACGCCGCGUGAAGGAAGAAGGCUUUCGGGUUGUAAACUUCUUUUGUCAGGGAAGAGUAGAAGACGGUACCUGACGAAUAAGCCACGGCUAACUACGUGCCAGCAGCCGCGGUAAUACGUAGGUGGCAAGCGUUUUCCGGAUUUACUGGGUGUAAAGGGCGUGUAGCCGGGUUGACAAGUUAGAUGUGAAAUCCUGCGGCUUAACCGGAGAACUGCCUUUGAAACUGUUGAGCUUGAGUACUGGAGAGGCAGACGGAAUUCGUAGUGUAGCGGUGAAAUGCGUAGAUAUUAGGAGGAACACCAGUGGCGAAGGCGGUCUGCUGGACAGCAACUGACGGUGAGGCGCGAAAGCGUGGGGAGCAAACAGGAUUAGAUACCCCAGUAGUC
This 442-nucleotide ribosomal RNA is filed under the name uncultured bacterium. RNAcentral describes it as "partial 16S ribosomal RNA". It matches the Rfam family "Bacterial small subunit ribosomal RNA", at positions 338 to 795 of the family's 1533-position model. The record is from RNAcentral.